This 511-nucleotide ribosomal RNA is filed under the name Candida albicans. RNAcentral describes it as "eukaryotic LSU rRNA". The stretch from base 143 to 296 matches the Rfam family "5.8S ribosomal RNA". Lineage: Eukaryota; Fungi; Ascomycota; Pichiomycetes; Serinales; Debaryomycetaceae. The record is from RNAcentral.
GUAACGGAACUGCUAAUUGCACCACAUGUGUUUUUCUUUGAAACAAACUUGCUUUGGCGGUGGGCCCAGCCUGCCGCCAGAGGUCUAAACUUACAACCAAUUUUUUAUCAACUUGUCACACCAGAUUAUUACUAAUAGUCAAAACUUUCAACAACGGAUCUCUUGGUUCUCGCAUCGAUGAAGAACGCAGCGAAAUGCGAUACGUAAUAUGAAUUGCAGAUAUUCGUGAAUCAUCGAAUCUUUGAACGCACAUUGCGCCCUCUGGUAUUCCGGAGGGCAUGCCUGUUUGAGCGUCGUUUCUCCCUCAAACCGCUGGGUUUGGUGUUGAGCAAUACGACUUGGGUUUGCUUGAAAGACGGUAGUGGUAAGGCGGGAUCGCUUUGACAAUGGCUUAGGUCUAACCAAAAACAUUGCUUGCGGCGGCAACGUCUACCACGUAUAUCUUCAAACUUUGACCUCAAAUCAGGUAGGACUACCCGCUGAACUUAAGCAUAUCAAUAAGCGGGAGGAA